AUGGCAGGCACAGGUCUGCCGGACCAGCAGCUGCGGCUGAUGACGACGGUAGAGGAGACCUUGGGGUCGGCCCUGGCAUCACUUCACCAGGGAGAAAGCAGAGGUGGUGAGGAGCACGGGAAUGGCCGGAUCCAGCCACUGAAGACCAUCGGGGUCCCGUUCCUGUCCGGAUCGAGGAAAAGCAAAGGAGGCCCAACGAGGAAGGGGCUCGCUGACUUGGAGGCUCUGGUGGCAGGCGGCCACUCCGGAGUGGGGAAGGCGGUGGCGCUGUGA
Molecule: ribosomal RNA, 273 nt
Filed under: Triticum aestivum (bread wheat)
Lineage: Eukaryota; Viridiplantae; Streptophyta; Magnoliopsida; Poales; Poaceae
Description: partial small subunit ribosomal RNA
Source: RNAcentral